UUCACGACUUCACGCGUCACCCUAAAAUCUAAUCCCUAAUUUCCAAGGUCUCCAGCAGCCGCCUCUUCAUUUUUCUCUCAAGCCGCAUCUCGCAAUCUUCUCGGAUUCUCUGAAUCUUCGAUACUUUUCUCUAAAACAAGGUUCGAUCCACAACCCUAAUUUUAAUUUCUUUACUCGACUAGUUAAGAUGAAUAUGGUAUAUAAUUACACGAGGCUUUAAUUUACAGAUCUAUAAGGCUUUGACUUGCAUAUCUACACUUUGAUUCUUAAAGGAUUACUGAUUAGGGUUUAUGUCAAGUGUCAAUGGAACAAGGCACCAGGCACCAGCAUGUGAAACUCUGGCAAUUUGCAAGCUCAUUUUGUGUAGCAAGAGGUUUUCAAAUUAUGGCAGGAUGGCAUUCUCUAAAUUAUAAGUUUGAAGUGGUA
This is a long non-coding RNA of Daucus carota subsp. sativus, 426 nucleotides long. RefSeq lists it as uncharacterized. The record is from RefSeq and is a predicted model, not a curated record. Lineage: Eukaryota; Viridiplantae; Streptophyta; Magnoliopsida; Apiales; Apiaceae. The transcript is spliced from 2 exons.